GGGGAUGUAGUUCAGUGGUUGGAAUGUCUGCCUGGCAAGCAUGAGGCCCCAAGUUUGAUUCCUGGCAACCCCC
Molecule: transfer RNA, 73 nt
Filed under: Fukomys damarensis (Damara mole-rat)
Lineage: Eukaryota; Metazoa; Chordata; Mammalia; Rodentia; Bathyergidae
Rfam family: tRNA
About the family: Transfer RNA (tRNA) molecules are approximately 80 nucleotides in length.
Source: Rfam by way of RNAcentral